CUCAAAGUAAAGAGAAAAAGGUUACUUGGCCCACAUUUAUUACUCCUAUACAGGUUAAUAGAUUUCAAAAGAAAUUAUCAUAAUUAAGUACAUAUAUACAAUUUUAGGAUUUUGGGUCAAUAAUCCCAGAAGGGAGAAAACGGAAAAGGGAUAGGAAAUAAAACUGAGACUAUUGAACUUUUAGCAUGAAUUAGAGAACUGAAUUGCUUCAGUUCUAAGUAAGAAAAGGUCGGGGAAUUGGCCAGACACUCAACAAACAUGGAUAAAUAGGUAUGUAUAUAUAAAGAUUCUAUACAUCACAUAAAAGGGGAAAAAAUCCAAAUUAAAAAGUGUCGGAUUCUAAAGCCAUGUAAUACACCCAAAAUACCACCAAUCAAAAGACCCACAAUUCAAUAGAAUCGAAAAACACAAGCGGCCAUCAUGAUGAGAAAUCAUUCACCAAAACAAUAACAAAGGUAAUUUUCUACUAUUUAUAAAAGCAAAAGAAAACCAACUUUUUUUUUUUUUUUUUUUU
Molecule: unclassified non-coding RNA, 514 nt
Filed under: Hevea brasiliensis (rubber tree)
Lineage: Eukaryota; Viridiplantae; Streptophyta; Magnoliopsida; Malpighiales; Euphorbiaceae
Source: RNAcentral